This 429-nucleotide ribosomal RNA is filed under the name uncultured bacterium. Its description in RNAcentral is "bacterial SSU rRNA". It matches the Rfam family "Bacterial small subunit ribosomal RNA", at positions 355 to 796 of the family's 1533-position model. The record is from RNAcentral.
UGGGGAAUAUUGCACAAUGGGCGAAAGCCUGAUGCAGCGACGCCGCGUGAGGGAUGACGGCCUUCGGGUUGUAAACCUCUUUCAGUAGGGAAGAAGCGAAAGUGACGGUACCUGCAGAAGAAGCGCCGGCUAACUACGUGCCAGCAGCCGCGGUAAUACGUAGGGCGCAAGCGUUAUCCGGAAUUAUUGGGCGUAAAGAGCUCGUAGGCGGUUUGUCGCGUCUGCUGUGAAAGACCGGGGCUCAACUCCGGUUCUGCAGUGGGUACGGGCAGACUAGAGUGAUGUAGGGGAGACUGGAAUUCCUGGUGUAGCGGUGAAAUGCGCAGAUAUCAGGAGGAACACCGAUGGCGAAGGCAGGUCUCUGGGCAUUAACUGACGCUGAGGAGCGAAAGCAUGGGGAGCGAACAGGAUUAGAUACCCCCGUAGUCC